Molecule: ribosomal RNA, 1902 nt
Filed under: human gut metagenome
Description: bacterial LSU rRNA
Rfam family: Bacterial large subunit ribosomal RNA
Source: RNAcentral
UUCAUAGUCAAAAGGGCAACAGCCCAGAUCGUCAGCUAAGGUCCCUAAAUGUACGUUAAGUGGUAAAGGAUGUGGGAUUGCACAGACAACCAGGAUGUUGGCUUAGAAGCAGCCACUCAUUUAAAGAGUGCGUAAUAGCUCACUGGUCGAGUGAUUCUGCGCCGAAAAUUUCCGGGGCUAAAACUUACUACCGAAGCUACGGCAUCAUUAUGAUGGGUAGGGGAGCUUUCUAUGUGGCUUGAAGCAUGACCGUAAGGACAUGUGGACUGCAUAGAAGUGAGAAUGUUGGCAUGAGUAGCGAGAUGUGGGUGAGAAUCCCACAGGCCGUAAACCCAAGGUUUCCAGGGGAAGGUUCGUCCGCCCUGGGUUAGUCAGGACCUAAGCCGAGGCCGAAAGGCGUAGGUGAUGGACAACAGGUUGAUAUUCCUGUACCACCAAUAACCGUUUGAGAAAUGGGAUGACACAGUAGGAUAAGCUAACCGCACUGUUGGUUAUGUGCGGGCAAGUAUUGAGGCAGUUCCGAUAGGCAAAUCCGUCGGAAUAAUGCUGGGGUACGAUGCGGAGCGAAAUUUAGUAGCGAAGUAGCUGAUUUCACACUGUCGAGAAAAGUCUCUAUCGAGGUUAAAGGUGCCUGUACCGCAAACCGACACAGGUGGGUGAGGAGAGUAUCCUAAGGCCAGCGAGAGAACUGUUGUUAAGGAACUCGGCAAAAUGACCCCGUAACUUCGGGAGAAGGGGUGCCUUCGAAAGAAGGCCGCAGAGAAUAGGCCCAAGCGACUGUUUACCAAAAACAUAGGUUUCUGCUAAGUCGCAAGACGAUGUAUAGGAGCUGACGCCUGCCCGGUGCUGGAAGGUUAAGGGGAUCUGUUAGAGCAAUCGAAGCAGUGAACUUAAGCCCCAGUAAACGGCGGCCGUAACUAUAACGGUCCUAAGGUAGCGAAAUUCCUUGUCGGGUAAGUUCCGACCCGCACGAAAGGCGUAACGAUUUGGGCACUGUCUCAACAACAGACUCGGUGAAAUUGUAAUACCGGUGAAGAUGCCGGUUACCUGCGACAGGACGGAAAGACCCCAUGGAGCUUUACUGUAGCUUGACAUUGAGUCUCGGUGCUACAUGUACAGGAUAGGUGGGAGACUAUGAAGCAUGGACGUCAGUCUGUGUGGAGUCAUCCUUGGGAUACCACCCUUGUAGUACUGGGAUUCUAACCAGAGGCCAUGAAUCUGGUCUUGGGACACUGUCAGGUGGACAGUUUGACUGGGGCGGUCGCCUCCCAAAAAGUAACGGAGGCGCUCAAAGGUUCUCUCAGUACGGUCGGAAAUCGUACGAAGAGUGUAAAGGCAAAAGAGAGCUUGAUUGCAAGACAUACAGGUCGAGCAAGGACGAAAGUCGGACUUAGUGAUCCGGUGGUUCCGCAUGGAAGGGCCAUCGCUCAACGGAUAAAAGCUACCCUGGGGAUAACAGGCUGAUCUCCCCCAAGCGUCCACAGCGACGGGGAGGUUUGGCACCUCGAUGUCGGCUCGUCGCAUCCUGGGGCUGUAUUCGGUCCCAAGGGUUUGGCUGUUCGCCAAUUAAAGCGGCACGCGAGCUGGGUUCAGAACGUCGUGAGACAGUUCGGUCCCUAUCUGUUGCGGGCGUAAGAGAUUUGAAGGGAGCUGUCCUUAGUACGAGAGGACCGGGAUGGACGUACCUCUGGUGCACCAGUUGUUCUGCCAAGGGCACAGCUGGGUAGCUAUGUACGGACGAGAUAAACGCUGAAAGCAUCUAAGCGUGAAACUCCCCCUAAGAUGAGAUCUCUCAUCCUUUAAGGAGUAAGGACCCAGAAAGACGAUCUGGUUGAUAGGCCGAAGGUGGAAGCGCAGUAAUGCGUGCAGCUGAUCGGUACUAAUAGUCCGAGGGCUUGACCU